Molecule: ribosomal RNA, 406 nt
Filed under: uncultured bacterium
Lineage: Bacteria
Description: partial 16S ribosomal RNA
Rfam family: Bacterial small subunit ribosomal RNA
Source: RNAcentral
AUUGAACGCUAGCGGCAGGCCUAACACAUGCAAGUCGAACGAGUGGCGGACGGGUGAGUAAUGUCUGGGAAACUGCCCGAUGGAGGGGGAUAACUACUGGAAAAGGUAGCUAAUACCGCAUACCAUCGGAUGUGCCCAUAUGGGAUUAGCUAGUAGGUGGGGUAACGGCUCACCUAGGCAACGAUCCCUAGCUGGUCUGAGAGGAUGACCAGCCACACUGGAACUGAGACACGGCCCAGACUCCUACGGGAGGCAGCAGUGGGGAAUAUUGGACAAUGGGCGAAAGCCUGAUGCAGCCAUGCCGCGUGUAUGAAGAAGGCCUUCGGGUUGUAAAGUACUUUUAGCGGGGAGGCGUUACUCGCAGAAGAAGCACCGGCUAACUCCGUGCCAGCAGCCGCGGUAAUAC